Chiloscyllium plagiosum (whitespotted bambooshark) is the source of this 230-nucleotide non-coding RNA. NCBI's taxonomy places the organism in Eukaryota, Metazoa, Chordata, Chondrichthyes, Orectolobiformes, Hemiscylliidae. The record is from RefSeq and is a predicted model, not a curated record.
CUUCAUCAGCCUCCAAUGGGACAACAGAGUUUCCCUCUAUUUCUUCCCAGUCGUCAAGUCAGAAACCAUCACCUUUGGCAGGUGGGUCAACGGAAAUAACCACAAUUUCAUCUACAUUAUCAAUUACACCAUUUGAGUCAGCAACCACACCAUCAGAGCAAACAACAAUCUCAAUAUCAUCCCACAUAACUACAUCUCCAGAAUAUACAGCAUCCAAUGGGACAACACAG